RNAcentral lists this ribosomal RNA (1444 nucleotides) under Staphylococcus pseudintermedius. RNAcentral's name for it is "partial 23S ribosomal RNA". It matches the Rfam family "Bacterial large subunit ribosomal RNA", at positions 1389 to 2832 of the family's 2925-position model. The record is from RNAcentral. Lineage: Bacteria; Bacillati; Bacillota; Bacilli; Caryophanales; Staphylococcaceae.
UCCUAAGCUGAGGCCGACAGGCGUAGGCGAUGGAUAACAGGUUGAUAUUCCUGUACCACCAUUAUUCGUUUUAAGCGAUGGGGGGACGCAGUAGGAUAGGCGAAGCGUGCUGUUGGAGUGCACGUCCAAGCAGUGAGAUUGAGUGUUAGGCAAAUCCGGCACUCUUAAGAUUGAGCUGUGAUGGGGAGAGGAACUUGUUCCUCGAGUCGUUGAUUUCACACUGCCGAGAAAAGCCUCUAGCUAGAAUAACGGUGCCCGUACCGCAAACCGACACAGGUAGUCAAGAUGAGAAUUCUAAGGUGAGCGAGCGAACUCUCGUUAAGGAACUCGGCAAAAUGACCCCGUAACUUCGGGAGAAGGGGUGCUCUUUGAGGUUCACGCUUCGAAGAGCCGCAGUGAAUAGGCCCAAGCGACUGUUUAUCAAAAACACAGGUCUCUGCUAAACCGUAAGGUGACGUAUAGGGGCUGACGCCUGCCCGGUGCUGGAAGGUUAAGAGGAGUGGUUAGCGCAAGCGAAGCUACGAAUCGAAGCCCCAGUAAACGGCGGCCGUAACUAUAACGGUCCUAAGGUAGCGAAAUUCCUUGUCGGGUAAGUUCCGACCCGCACGAAAGGCGUAACGAUUUGGGCACUGUCUCAACGAGAGACUCGGUGAAAUCAUAGUACCGGUGAAGAUGCCGGUUACCCGCGACAGGACGGAAAGACCCCGUGGAGCUUUACUGUAGCCUGAUAUUGAAAUUCGGUACAGUUUGUACAGGAUAGGUAGGAGCCUUAGAAGCGUGAGCGCUAGCUUACGUGGAGGCAUUGGUGGGAUACUACCCUAAUUGUAUUGGAUUUCUAACCCGCAGCACUUAUCGUGCUGGGAGACAGUGUCAGGCGGGCAGUUUGACUGGGGCGGUCGCCUCCUAAAGAGUAACGGAGGCGCUCAAAGGUUCCCUCAGAAUGGUUGGAAAUCAUUCAUAGAGUGUAAAGGCAUAAGGGAGCUUGACUGCGAGACCUACAAGUCGAGCAGGGUCGAAAGACGGACUUAGUGAUCCGGUGGUUCCGCAUGGAAGGGCCAUCGCUCAACGGAUAAAAGCUACCCCGGGGAUAACAGGCUUAUCUCCCCCAAGAGUUCACAUCGACGGGGAGGUUUGGCACCUCGAUGUCGGCUCAUCGCAUCCUGGGGCUGUAGUCGGUCCCAAGGGUUGGGCUGUUCGCCCAUUAAAGCGGUACGCGAGCUGGGUUCAGAACGUCGUGAGACAGUUCGGUCCCUAUCCGUCGUGGGCGUAGGAAAUUUGAGAGGAGCUGUCCUUAGUACGAGAGGACCGGGAUGGACAUACCUCUGGUGUACCAGUUGUCGUGCCAACGGCAUAGCUGGGUAGCUAUGUAUGGACGGGAUAAGUGCUGAAAGCAUCUAAGCAUGAAGCCCCCCUCGAGAUGAGAUUUCCCAACUUCGGUUAUAAG